Molecule: non-coding RNA, 45 nt
Filed under: Schistosoma mansoni
Lineage: Eukaryota; Metazoa; Platyhelminthes; Trematoda; Strigeidida; Schistosomatidae
Source: RNAcentral
AUCCAGCUGACGAGUGCCAAAUGUGACUAAACGCGCGUCCUGGAU